Molecule: ribosomal RNA, 405 nt
Filed under: Fusobacteriota bacterium
Lineage: Bacteria; Fusobacteriati; Fusobacteriota
Description: Fusobacteria bacterium partial 16S ribosomal RNA
Rfam family: Bacterial small subunit ribosomal RNA
Source: RNAcentral
UGAGGAAUAUUGCUCAAUGGGCGAAAGCCUGAAGCAGCAACGCCGCGUGCGCGAUGAAGGCCUUCGGGUCGUAAAGCGCUUUUGAGAGGGACGAGAUAGGACGGUACCUCUGGAAUAAGUCACGGCUAACUACGUGCCAGCAGCCGCGGUAAAACGUAGGUGGCAAGCGUUAUCCGGAUUCACUGGGCGUAAAGCGCGUGCAGGUGGCUUCGUAAGUUGGACGUUAAAUCUCCCGGCCUAACCGGGAAGUGUCGUUCAAUACUGCGGGGCUGGAGGGCAGAAGAGGGGGGUGGAAUUGCUGGUGUAGUGGUGAAAUGCGUAGAUAUCAGCAGGAACACCUGUGGCGAAAGCGGCCCCCUGGUCUGCUCCUGACACUCAGACGCGAAAGCUAGGGGAGUGAACGGG